RNAcentral lists this ribosomal RNA (253 nucleotides) under uncultured Nitrososphaera sp. RNAcentral describes it as "partial 16S ribosomal RNA". It matches the Rfam family "Archaeal small subunit ribosomal RNA", at positions 474 to 727 of the family's 1478-position model. The record is from RNAcentral. Lineage: Archaea; Thermoproteati; Nitrososphaerota; Nitrososphaeria; Nitrososphaerales; Nitrososphaeraceae.
UACCAGCACCCCGAGUGGUCGGGACGAUUAUUGGGCCUAAAGCAUCCGUAGCCGGUCCUGCGAGUCCUCCGUUAAAUCCACCCGCUCAACGGUUGGGCCGCGGGGGAUACUACAGGGCUAGGAGGCGGGAGAGGCAAGCGGUACUCGAUGGGUAGGGGUAAAAUCCACUGAUCCAUUGAAGACCACCAGUGGCGAAGGCGGCCUGCCAGAACGCGCUCGACGGUGAGGGAUGAAAGCUGGGGGAGCAAACCGG